UUUAAAGAAAGCGCCCUCUAAAGUGGAAACAUUUAAGGGUUUAGAGGGCGCUUUUACUGGAAAGCGCCCUCUAAAGUGGAAACUUUUAAGGGUUUAGAGGGCGCUUUUACUGGAAAAGCGCCCUCUAAAGUGGAAAUUUAAAGGGUUUAGAGGGCGCUUAUUUUGGGAAGCGCCCUCUAAAGUGGGUGGUUAUUUAAUUUUUUUUUUUUUAAAAAGCGCUAUAUUUUUUUAUUUAUUUUAGACAACCUGUAUAUUGAAGCAGUACACCCAAAACUGUAUAAUUUGAAGCCCUUUUUCACACAUUGCAUUCAACAAGCCUUAUAUACAACAAUCCAUACAUAUACAACAAUCCACUGAUAUAUAAUUGUUUAACUUCUAAAGAUUCUAAAUAUACAACCAAUUCAUAACUUAAAAAGAAAUAAAACUAAGUAGCAAAAGCAUCUCUGAGAUGUA
Molecule: long non-coding RNA, 453 nt
Filed under: Lathyrus oleraceus (garden pea)
Lineage: Eukaryota; Viridiplantae; Streptophyta; Magnoliopsida; Fabales; Fabaceae
Description: Pisum sativum (pea) long non-coding RNA (PSAT_LNC026784)
Source: RNAcentral